AUUUUUGUACCGAAACCAGAUAUCUGCAAUACCAAACAAUGUGUUUAAAGAAUUGCCAAAUUUAGAGACACUGUACAUCUUUAGCAAUAACAUAACUACAUUAAACAAAGACAUGUUCCUGGGACUUCCAAAAUUAAAGACGCUGUCAGUGGAAAGGAAUCCUCUGCACUGUGACUGCAUCUUAGCCGAUUUUGUCAGAUUUUCCAAAUAAAGGAACUUAACAUUGAAGAAUGACAUAGAACCGAAAUGUUCAACUCCGAGUAAUCUGACAGGAGUAUUGUUACGGGAUCUCUCCUCAGAGGACAUGAAUUGUGACGUCACUACAGCAACAACACCAGUGCGAGAAACGUCUGGUAAAAUGAUUAUUUUUAUUCAAUAAAAAACACUGAAUUGUCUGAACUUAAAAUCACUCCUAGGCAUUAUCUAUGUUUAGAGGCGAAAAGCGAAAAAAAACUUAUGCAUUAUUUAAACGCCUACAUCUCACCUACUUAACUUAUCUUUAUUUGUUAAUACGUUUAUUUUUUAUGUAUGAAUGAUUAUCUACAGAAGUAGGAGCUAAACUAAGCUUCAUAUUCAUUCUGCAAGGUAAGAUUGCUCUUGCUGUUACCAAGCAGGG
Saccostrea cuccullata (small rock oyster) is the source of this 616-nucleotide long non-coding RNA. RefSeq lists it as uncharacterized. NCBI's taxonomy places the organism in Eukaryota, Metazoa, Mollusca, Bivalvia, Ostreida, Ostreidae. The transcript is spliced from 3 exons. The record is from RefSeq and is a predicted model, not a curated record.